This 791-nucleotide ribosomal RNA is filed under the name Levilactobacillus brevis. Its description in RNAcentral is "bacterial SSU rRNA". It matches the Rfam family "Bacterial small subunit ribosomal RNA", at positions 41 to 794 of the family's 1533-position model. Lineage: Bacteria; Bacillati; Bacillota; Bacilli; Lactobacillales; Lactobacillaceae. The record is from RNAcentral.
GGACAAGCCUAUCUGCAGUCGAACGAGCUUCCGUUGAAUGACGUGCUUGCACUGAUUUCAACAAUGAAGCGAGUGGCGAACUGGUGAGUAACACGUGGGAAAUCUGCCCAGAAGCAGGGGAUAACACUUGGAAACAGGUGCUAAUACCGUAUAACAACAAAAUCCGCAUGGAUUUUGUUUGAAAGGUGGUUUCGGCUAUCACUUCUGGAUGAUCCCGCGGCGUAUUAGUUAGUUGGUGAGGUAAAGGCCCACCAAGACGAUGAUACGUAGCCGACCUGAGAGGGUAAUCGGCCACAUUGGGACUGAGACACGGCCCAAACUCCUACGGGAGGCAGCAGUAGGGAAUCUUCCACAAUGGACGAAAGUCUGAUGGAGCAAUGCCGCGUGAGUGAAGAAGGGUUUCGGCUCGUAAAACUCUGUUGUUAAAGAAGAACACCUUUGAGAGUAACUGUUCAAGGGUUGACGGUAUUUAACCAGAAAGCCACGGCUAACUACGUGCCAGCAGCCGCGGUAAUACGUAGGUGGCAAGCGUUGUCCGGAUUUAUUGGGCGUAAAGCGAGCGCAGGCGGUUUUUUAAGUCUGAUGUGAAAGCCUUCGGCUUAACCGGAGAAGUGCAUCGGAAACUGGGAGACUUGAGUGCAGAAGAGGACAGUGGAACUCCAUGUGUAGCGGUGGAAUGCGUAGAUAUAUGGAAAGAACACCAGUGGCGAAAGGCGGCUGUCUAGUCUGUUAACUGACGCUGAGGCUCGAAAGCUUGGGUUAGCGAAACAGGAUUAGUUACCCUGGUAGGU